This 467-nucleotide ribosomal RNA is filed under the name uncultured bacterium. Its description in RNAcentral is "partial 16S ribosomal RNA". It matches the Rfam family "Bacterial small subunit ribosomal RNA", at positions 28 to 507 of the family's 1533-position model. The record is from RNAcentral.
GACGAACGCUGGCGGCGUGCCUAACACAUGCAAGUCGAACGGAAAGGCCCUGCUUUUGUGGGGUGCUCGAGUGGCGAACGGGUGAGUAACACGUGAGUAACCUGCCCUUGACUUUGGGAUAACUUCAGGAAACUGGGGCUAAUACCGGAUAGGAGCUCCUGCUGCAUGGUGGGGGUUGGAAAGUUUCGGCGGUUGGGGAUGGACUCGCGGCUUAUCAGCUUGUUGGUGGGGUAGUGGCUUACAAGGCUUUGACGGGUAGCCGGCCUGAGAGGGUGACCGGCCACAUUGGGACUGAGAUACGGCCCAGACUCCUACGGGAGGCAGCAGUGGGGAAUAUUGCACAAUGGGCGGAAGCCUGAUGCAGCAACGCCGCGUGCGGGAUGACGGCCUUCGGGUUGUAAACCGCUUUCGCCUGUGACGAAGCGUGAGUGACGGUAAUGGGUAAAGAAGCACCGGCUAACUACGUG